CACGGAGUUAGCCGGUGCUUCUUCUGCGGGUAACGUCAAUCGACGCGGUUAUUAACCACAUCGCCUUCCUCCCCGCUGAAAGUACUUUGCAACCCGAAGACCUUCUUCAUACACGCGGCAUGGCUGCAUCAGGCUUGCGCCCAUUGUGCAAUAUUCCCCA
This 160-nucleotide ribosomal RNA is filed under the name uncultured bacterium. RNAcentral's name for it is "partial 16S ribosomal RNA". The record is from RNAcentral.